AUUGAACGCUGGCGGCAUGCUUUACACAUGCAAGUCGAACGGCAGCACAGGGAGCUUGCUCCCGGGUGGCGAGUGGCGCACGGGUGAGUAAUACAUCGGAACGUGUCCUGUUGUGGGGGAUAACUGCUCGAAAGGGUGGCUAAUACCGCAUGAGACCUGAGGGUGAAAGCGGGGGAUCGCAAGACCUCGCGCAAUUGGAGCGGCCGAUGCCCGAUUAGCUAGUUGGUGAGGUAAAGGCUCACCAAGGCGACGAUCGGUAGCUGGUCUGAGAGGACGACCAGCCACACUGGGACUGAGACACGGCCCAGACUCCUACGGGAGGCAGCAGUGGGGAAUUUUGGACAAUGGGGGCAACCCUGAUCCAGCCAUGCCGCGUGCAGGAUGAA
Molecule: ribosomal RNA, 386 nt
Filed under: uncultured bacterium
Lineage: Bacteria
Description: bacterial SSU rRNA
Rfam family: Bacterial small subunit ribosomal RNA
Source: RNAcentral